RNAcentral lists this transfer RNA (84 nucleotides) under Dryinus sp. ZJUH_2016011. Its description in RNAcentral is "tRNA-Lys". The record is from RNAcentral. Lineage: Eukaryota; Metazoa; Arthropoda; Insecta; Hymenoptera; Dryinidae.
UAUUAGAUGACUGAAAAGUAAGUAUUGAUCUCUUAAAUCAAAAAUAGUAAAAUUUUAUAAAUAAAAACAAGUUACUUCUAAUAA